CCAAGGAGCAGGUAUCAGGCACAACCAUUUAGCCCAAAACACCUUGCUACGCCACACCCACACGGGCACCCAGCAGUGAUAAACAUUAAGCAAUGAGCAAAGCCAGUCUAAGCUCGACUUAGUUAUGAUCAUUAGGGCCGGUAAACCUCGUGCCAGCCACCGCGGUUACACGAGGGGCCCAAAACAGCAGACACCGGCGUAAAUUGUGACUAGAGCACCUACUUCUGAGAAAUAAACAAAAGCCCGACCGUAAAACCUGGGCCAAAAGAAACACACCUUCUCAACCACAAAGUAGCUUGAACCCACGAAGACUAAGAAACAAACUAGGAUUAGAUACCCUACUAUGCUUAGUUGUCAACACGACACCAAAAAACAACAGUGUCCGCCAGAGAAUUACACGCGAAAAGCUUAAAACUCAAAGGACUUGGCGGUGCUCCGUAUUCGUCUUAGAGGAGCCUGUCCUAUAAUCGAUAACCCACGUUUUACCUUACCAUCUUUUGUCAAAACAGCCUAUAUACCGCCGUCGCAAACUUACCCCAUGAGGGCACAACAGUAAGUAAAAAAGUAACACACUAACACGUCAGGUCAAGGUGUAGCUAAUAAGAUGGAAGAGAUGGGCUACAUUUUCUAAAACAGAACACACGGCAAAGGACAUUGAAACAGAUGCCCUCAAAGGUGGAUUUAAUAGUAAGAUAGAAAAGAAAGCCUAUCUAAAACCCGUUCCGGAGCG
This 730-nucleotide ribosomal RNA is filed under the name Liolaemus cf. boulengeri. RNAcentral's name for it is "partial 12S ribosomal RNA". It matches the Rfam family "Bacterial small subunit ribosomal RNA", at positions 80 to 1381 of the family's 1533-position model. The record is from RNAcentral. Lineage: Eukaryota; Metazoa; Chordata; Lepidosauria; Squamata.